GAGUUUGAUCAUGGCUCAGGAUGAACGCCGACAGAAUGCUUAACACAUGCAAGUCUACUUGAUCCUUCGGGUGAAGGUGGCGGACGGGUGAGUAACGCGUAAAGAACUUGCCUUACAGACUGGGACAACAUUUGGAAACGAAUGCUAAUACCGGAUAUUAUGAUUGGGUCGCAUGAUCUGGUUAUGAAAGCUAUAUGCGCUGUGAGAGAGCUUUGCGUCCCAUUAGUUAGUUGGUGAGGUAACGGCUCACCAAGACGAUGAUGGGUAGCCGGCCUGAGAGGGUGAACGGCCACAAGGGGACUGAGACACGGCCCUUACUCCUACGGGAGGCAGCAGUGGGGAAUAUUGGACAAUGGACCAAAAGUCUGAUCCAGCAAUUCUGUGUGCACGAUGAAGUUUUUCGGAAUGUAAAGUGCUUUCAGUUGGGAAGAAGUCAGUGACGGUACCAACAGAAGAAGCGACGGCUAAAUACGUGCCAGCAGCCGCGGUAAUACGUAUGUCGCAAGCGUUAUCCGGAUUUAUUGGGCGUAAAGCGCGUCUAGGCGGCUUAGUAAGUCUGAUGUGAAAAUGCGGGGCUCAACCCCGUAUUGCGUUGGAAACUGCUAAACUAGAGUACUGGAGAGGUAGGCGGAACUACAAGUGUAGAGGUGAAAUUCGUAGAUAUUUGUAGGAAUGCCGAUGGGGAAGCCAGCCUACUGGACAGAUACUGACGCUAAAGCGCGAAAGCGUGGGUAGCAAACAGGAUUAGAUACCCUGGUAGUCCACGCCGUAAACGAUGAUUACUAGGUGUUGGGGGUCGAACCUCAGCGCCCAAGCUAACGCGAUAAGUAAUCCGCCUGGGGAGUACGUACGCAAGUAUGAAACUCAAAGGAAUUGACGGGGACCCGCACAAGCGGUGGAGCAU
Molecule: ribosomal RNA, 904 nt
Filed under: uncultured bacterium
Lineage: Bacteria
Description: bacterial SSU rRNA
Rfam family: Bacterial small subunit ribosomal RNA
Source: RNAcentral